UAUUUGAUAAUCGAAAGUUACAUGGAUAACCGUGACAAAUUACAGCUAAUACAUGCAGUCAGACCUGGUUAAGGGUCGUAAUUAUUAGUACCAAACCAUUUCCGAAAGGAGUGUGAUGAUUCAUAGUAAUCGAACGAAUCGCAGAUCUUUGCGAUAAGUCAUUCAAGUUUCUGCCCUAUCAGCUUUGGAUGGUAGUGUAUUGGACUACCAUGGCAGUCACGGGUAACGGAGAAUUAGGGUUCGAUUCCGGAGAGGGAGCCUGAGAAACGGCUACCACAUCUACGGAAGGCAGCAGGCGCGAAAAUUGCCCAAUCCCGACACGGGGAGGCAGUGACAAGAAAUAACAACUCUAGGUUUUCUUAGAAGUGUAAUGAGGAUAAUUUACAAACCUUACCGAAUGCAAUUGGAGGGCAAGUCUGGUGCCAGCAGCCGCGGUAAUUCCAGCUCCAAUAGCGUAUAUUAAAGUUGUUGCAGUUAAAAAGCUCGUAGUUGAAGUUCUGAUUGCUCAGGUCCUCAGCCUUUAGGCGGGGAUACUGACAGUCAUCCGCUUGCAAGCAUAUGUUCGGCCUUAAACAGUCGGCUAUGUGAGUAAGCAUUUUACCUUGAGAAAAACAGAGUGUUCCAGGCAGGUUUGUCCGGGAUGCAUUAGCAUGGAAUAAUAGAACAUGACUGAAGUCUAUUUAUUGGUUUAAGGCUUUAGUAAUGAUUAAUAGGAACAGUCGGGGGCAUUCGUACUCAGCAGUCAGAGGUGAAAUUCUAAGAUUUGCUGAAGACGAACUAAUGCGAAAGCAUUUGCCAAGGAUGUUUUCAUUAAUCAAGAACGAAAGUUAGGGGAUCAAAGACGAUCAGAUACCGUCCUAGUCUUAACUAUAAACGAUACCGACUCGGAUUCAGAUGAAUCAUAAUGUUCAUUUGGGACCGUAGGAGAAAUCAAAGUCUUUGGGUUCUGGGGGGAGUAUGGUCGCAAGGCUGAAACUUAAAGGAAUUGACGGUUUUGCACCACCAUGGAGUGGAGUCUGCGGCUUAAUUUGACUCAACACUGGGAAACUCAUCAGGGCAAGAAGAUUUUAGGAUUGACAGAUGAGAGUUCYUUCCUGAUUGGUCUAGUGGUGGUGCAUGGCCGUUCU
RNAcentral lists this ribosomal RNA (1127 nucleotides) under uncultured Peritrichia. RNAcentral describes it as "SSU rRNA". It matches the Rfam family "Eukaryotic small subunit ribosomal RNA", at positions 118 to 1305 of the family's 1831-position model. The record is from RNAcentral. Lineage: Eukaryota; Ciliophora; Oligohymenophorea.